This is a non-coding RNA of Coccomyxa subellipsoidea C-169, 103 nucleotides long. The record is from Rfam. Lineage: Eukaryota; Viridiplantae; Chlorophyta; Trebouxiophyceae; Coccomyxaceae.
GUCCUUCGGGACAUCUGAUAAAAUUGGAACGAUACAGAGAAGAUUAGCAUGGCCCCUGCGCAAGGAUGACACGCAUAUUUCGAGAAAUGGUUCCAAAAUUUUU